AUUAAAUAAAUCUAUAGAAAAAAGAGGACAGGAAGACCAAAGAAAAGGUGGAUGAAUUGCAUGAAAGAGGAUAUGUGUGUAAAAGGGGUGGAAAAUGCGUUGACAUAUGACAGAAGUGAGUGGGUGAAAAAUACAUGUUGUGCCGACCAA
This is a long non-coding RNA of Maniola jurtina (meadow brown), 150 nucleotides long. RefSeq lists it as uncharacterized. The transcript is spliced from 3 exons. Lineage: Eukaryota; Metazoa; Arthropoda; Insecta; Lepidoptera; Nymphalidae. The record is from RefSeq and is a predicted model, not a curated record.